Molecule: non-coding RNA, 479 nt
Organism: Danio rerio (zebrafish)
Lineage: Eukaryota; Metazoa; Chordata; Actinopteri; Cypriniformes; Danionidae
Source: RefSeq, a predicted model, not a curated record
AAAAGUCAGACUGAGCCACAAUGUUGGACUGAUAUCACUACCAAAGGAUGGAGAAGAUGUUGAAGCAGAUAUUCUCUGUAGUGUUGCUGGUUGGGGAAGACUGUGGUCAAAAGGCCCAAGUCCAGAUCGUCUAAGAGAGGCAGAGACAGUAAUUGUGAAUGAUGCAGAGUGUGAACGCAGAUGGAACAAGACUUACAAGGCUUCAAAGAUGAUCUGUGCUUAUGGCCAUGGUGGAUCCUGCAGUGGGGAUUCUGGAGGUCCUUUGGUUUGUAAUAACACUGCUGUUGGUAUCACUUCUUUCGGUGACCGUUAUCUCUGUAAUUCACGUUUGCUUCCUAACGUGUAUACUAGGAUUUCAGCAUAUCUUCCAUGGAUCCACAACAUAACUGGAAAUGUUUAUAAAAAGAAAUAAUCUUGAGAUGUUUUUUUUUUUCAUUCUUCCAUAAAUCUUUUAAUAAAAGUAUCAAAUGGCAAGCAUC